ACUACGAGUUUGAUCAUGGCUCAGGAUGAACGUUAGCGGGAGGCUUAAUACAUGCAAGUCGAGCGGUAAGUUUUUAUAGCAAUAUGAAGACCUAGAGCGGCGCACGGGUGAGUAACGCGUACACGACCUGGCCUAAACUGGGGGAUAGCCUUGGGAAACUGAGAGUAAUCCCGCAUGUGAUUAUGUUACUGAUGGUGAUAUAAUUAAAGCUUCGGCGGUUUAGGAUGGAUGUGCGUCUGAUUAGCUAGUUGGUGAGGUAACUGCUCACCAAGGCGACGAUCAGUAGGGGGCGUGAGAGCGUGGCCCCCCACACGGGUACUGAGACACGGACCCGACUCCUACGGGAGGCAGCAGUAAGGAAUAUUGGUCAAUGGAGGGAACUCUGAACCAGCCAUGCCGCGUGAAGGAUGACGGCCCUCUGGGUUGUAAACUUCUUUUGGAUGGGGCGAAAAAACGGGAUUUAUCCUGGACUGACGGUACCAUCAGAAUAAGCACCGGCUAACUCCGUG
Molecule: ribosomal RNA, 509 nt
Filed under: uncultured bacterium
Lineage: Bacteria
Description: bacterial SSU rRNA
Rfam family: Bacterial small subunit ribosomal RNA
Source: RNAcentral